GCGGUUAUGGCGGAAUUGGCAGACGCGCUGGUUUUAGGUGCCAGUGGUUACCCGUGUGGGUUCAAAUCCCACUAACCGCA
Molecule: transfer RNA, 80 nt
Filed under: Firmicutes bacterium CAG:65
Lineage: Bacteria; Bacillati; Bacillota
Also listed under: 12 other names
Description: transfer RNA-Leu(TAG)
Rfam family: tRNA
About the family: Transfer RNA (tRNA) molecules are approximately 80 nucleotides in length. Their secondary structure includes four short double-helical elements and three loops (D, anti-codon, and T loops).
Source: RNAcentral